UGGGUCUGGUUUCUGAUAGUUUGAAUACUUCUCAGAAUCAUGUGGGGAGUCAAAGAAAUAGACCAGGUAUGUCUGGAGAAAGACAAAAAAAUACUCCAAAAGGACAGAUGGGUGACCCUGCUGUUUUAACAGAACCAUCAACAGACCAAGAAGGGGUUACAGAAGAUAGAGGCAGUUCAUUGGUUGAUUCCAAGACUCCAGAUU
RNAcentral lists this unclassified non-coding RNA (204 nucleotides) under Hevea brasiliensis (rubber tree). Lineage: Eukaryota; Viridiplantae; Streptophyta; Magnoliopsida; Malpighiales; Euphorbiaceae. The record is from RNAcentral.